GGUUUCAAGCAAUCCGCCCGCCUCGGCUUCCCAAAGUGCCGGGAUUACAGGCAUGAGCCACCGGGUCCGCCGCUCAGGUGUUUUUAAAGGACGUAGACCCGGUGGUGAUUGUUGUGGGACGAUGAAAGGGUCCGGCCCCAAGAUCGAUGUAGUUUAGGGAAAUAUCUUUUCCCAAGGAAUGUCUCCGAGUUUACAAGAUGAGCGCCAAGGUCACGCCCCCCGCCCUCCCUCACAGCCCUCUGUUCACAGCAGCACCGUUCUCUUGUGGCCGGUUUUGUUGCUUUUCUGCUUAGCAGCCUCCCUCACAGAACCGUGAUCCCCCCACCCCACACAUCCCUUUCCCCGCUUCCUCCCGCACUCCUCUUCUUCCAGCAGGUGUUUACAGAACAUCCACGGAGUUUGGGCCAAGCCCAGAGUGAGGAGCUGGGCACUGGGGUGGCAGAAGACCAGGCCUUGCCUUGAGCCCUUGUGCGAGCUUUACCUCAAAGCCUCUGUAAUCGAAGUGGGAGAAGGGGUGGUGGUGCGUGGUUGGUCUCAGCCACCUCCACCACUCCUCAGAAGAUGAACGCUGGAUCCAGGAAGAGAUUGUCAAGGUUGCUACAAUAAUUCCAGCUGUGUAUACCUCCUGGGAUCAUAAUAGAAAUGAACCUCUGAAGCAUCUUACUGAAGAAGGCCCCUACGUUGACUGUCCAGCUGACUGUCUCUACCCGACUGCUGUCCCACACAAUAUGGGCCAGGCGAUGGUAUUGCCUUUGCAAACUAAAUGAAGUUCCUCAAAGUGAAGCUGGUGGCGACUUCAGAGUUAACUUUUCAAAUGGCCGGGCUUAUAUAGAAUAACCUUUGUAAAAGUAAACUAUGAUCAUAUAAUAAGAUACAUGUGCAUUUGGAACGCCACUGCUUUUGGAACCUGUCUCAGUUUUUAUCAUCAUACAAGGUUAAUUGUCUAAUGUCAAUUAGAUUUUAUCACAGUGCAUUUGGGUCCUAAUCUGGAACAAUAAAAGUCUAUUAAACAGCAAACUUUGUAGAUGUAUUUCCUAAAGAUGUAUUUCCUUUUUACCUGAGGUUAAUUUUUUUUUUCUGCUUGCUCUGUCACCCAGGCUGGAGUGCAGUGGCAUGAUCUCG
RNAcentral lists this long non-coding RNA (1122 nucleotides) under Homo sapiens (human). RNAcentral describes it as "HSALNT0180830". The record is from RNAcentral. Lineage: Eukaryota; Metazoa; Chordata; Mammalia; Primates; Hominidae.